This 518-nucleotide ribosomal RNA is filed under the name uncultured bacterium. RNAcentral describes it as "bacterial SSU rRNA". It matches the Rfam family "Bacterial small subunit ribosomal RNA", at positions 355 to 888 of the family's 1533-position model. The record is from RNAcentral.
GGAGGAAUAUUGCACAAUGGGCGACAGCCCGAUGCAGCAACGCCGCGUGGAGGACGAAGGCCUUCGGGUCGUAAACUCCUUUUGAGGGAGACGAGCAAGGACGGUAUCCCUCGAAGAAGCCACGGCUAACUACGUGCCAGCAGCCGCGGUAAAACGUAGGUGGCGAGCGUUAUCCGGAUUCAUUGGGCGUAAAGAGCUUGUAGGUGGCCGUGUAAGUUGGACGUGAAAGCCCCGGGCUUAACUCGGGGAGGCCGUUCAAUACUGCGCGGCUGGAGGAUGUCAGAGGGGAGUGGAAUUCCUGGUGUAGCAGUGAAAUGCGUAGAUAUCAGGAGGAACACCCGUGGCGAAGGCGGCUCCCUGGGGCAGCCCUGACACUGAGAAGCGAAAGCUGGGGGAGCAAACGGGAUUAGAAACCCCGGUAGUCCCAGCCGUAAACGAUGGGUGCUGGGUGUGCGCGGAACUAACCCCGCGCGUGCCGAAGCUAACGCGUUAAGCACCCCGCCUGGGAAGUACGAGCG